AUAAAAAUAUGGUCAAAGUAAUAAGAGUCUAUGGUGAAUGCCUAGGA
This 47-nucleotide ribosomal RNA is filed under the name Borreliella garinii. Its description in RNAcentral is "partial 23S ribosomal RNA". The record is from RNAcentral. Lineage: Bacteria; Pseudomonadati; Spirochaetota; Spirochaetia; Spirochaetales; Borreliaceae.